AUACCGGAUAAUAUUUUGAACCGCAUGGUUCAAAAGUGAAAGACGGUCUUGCUGUCACUUAUAGAUGGAUCCGCGCUGCAUUAGCUAGUUGGUAAGGUAACGGCUUACCAAGGCAACGAUGCAUAGCCGACCUGAGAGGGUGAUCGGCCACACUGGAACUGAGACACGGUCCAGACUCCUACGGGAGGCAGCAGUAGGGAAUCUUCCGCAAUGGGCGAAAGCCUGACGGAGCAACGCCGCGUGAGUGAUGAAGGUCUUCGGAUCGUAAAACUCUGUUAUUAGGGAAGAACAUAUGUGUAAGUAACUGUGCACAUCUUGACGGUACCUAAUCAGAAAGCCACGGCUAACUACGUGCCAGCAGCCGCGGUAAUACGUAGGUGGCAAGCGUUAUCCGGAAUUAUUGGGCGUAAAGCGCGCGUAGGCGGUUUUUUAAGUCUGAUGUGAAAGCCCACGGCUCAACCGUGGAGGGUCAUUGGAAACUGGAAAACUUGAGUGCAGAAGAGGAAAGUGGAAUUCCAUGUGUAGCGGUGAAAUGCGCAGAGAUAUGGAGGAACACCAGUGGCGAAGGCGAUUUUCUGGUCUGUAACUGACGCUGAUGUGCGAAAGCGUGGGGAUCAAACAGGAUUAGAUACCCUGGUAGUCCACGCCGUAAACGAUGAGUGCUAAGUGUUAGGGGGUUUCCGCCCCUUAGUGCUGCAGCUAACGCAUUAAGCACUCCGCCUGGGGAGUACGACCGCAAGGUUGAAACUCAAAGGAAUUGACGGGGACCCGCACAAGCGGUGGAGCAUGUGGUUUAAUUCGAAGCAACGCGAAGAACCUUACCAAAUCUUGACAUCCUUUGACAACUCUAGAGAUAGAGCCUUCCCCUUCGGGGGACAAAGUGACAGGUGGUGCAUGGUUGUCGUCAGCUCGUGUCGUGAGAUGUUGGGUUAAGUCCCGCAACGAGCGCAACCCUUAAGCUUAGUUGCCAUCAUUAAGUUGGGCACUCUAAGUUGACUGCCGGUGACAAACCGGAGGAAGGUGGGGAUGACGUCAAAUCAUCAUGCCCCUUAUGAUUUGGGCUACACACGUGCUACAAUGGACAAUACAAAGGGCAGCGAAACCGCGAGGUCAAGCAAAUCCCAUAAAGUUGUUCUCAGUUCGGAUUGUAGUCUGCAACUCGACUACAUGAAGCUGGAAUCGCUAGUAAUCGUAGAUCAGCAUGCUACGGUGAAUACGUUCCCGGGUCUUGUACACACCGCCCGUCACACCACGAGAGUUUGUAACACCCGAAGCCGGUGGAGUAACCUUUUAGGAGCUAGCCGUCGAAGGUGGGACAAAUGAUUGGGGUGAAGUCGUAACAAGGUAGCCGUAUCGGAAGGUGCGGCU
Molecule: ribosomal RNA, 1368 nt
Filed under: Staphylococcus aureus
Lineage: Bacteria; Bacillati; Bacillota; Bacilli; Caryophanales; Staphylococcaceae
Description: bacterial SSU rRNA
Rfam family: Bacterial small subunit ribosomal RNA
Source: RNAcentral